Molecule: long non-coding RNA, 778 nt
Filed under: Helianthus annuus (common sunflower)
Lineage: Eukaryota; Viridiplantae; Streptophyta; Magnoliopsida; Asterales; Asteraceae
Source: RNAcentral
GAACGGUAGCAAAUUUAGCAACUUAUCGACCACGUAAAUAACAAAUAAAUUUAGCAACUUAUUGACCAUGUAAAUAACAAAUUGACAGCACCUCUCACAAUGAAACCCUAAUUUUUGUGCCCUGCUCAUUCAAUCCUAAUUUUGUACUGCCGCUGAUCAAUGGCUUCGAUCAAUCACUCCUGCCAUUCGCUCCGCUCCGAUCAACAAUAUUCGCUAUUAUCAAUCGCUCCGAUCAAUCACUUUGAUUAAUAAAACUUAAUACUUUUUAUUCGAUAUCGAAGAACUCAAUCGAAGCGGAAACUCCUUGAAUUCUACAUCUUCUACCACUCAAUCAAAGUAGCAAGGGUGGCUAAGGGGAUUUAUUGCGGAUUAUGGUGUCCCAGUAAUGGUGGUCAUACAUGCAACUUUUUAGUCGAAAUCCGUGGUCUCCUGGUGCUUACACAAAUUGGACCAUUGCAAAGUGCUGCAUCUCAACUUGUAUAUUAUUGGAGCUUUGGAAGAAAUUUAAAGAAAUUAAAGAUUCAAUGGAAUUAUAGCUGAGUUAAUGACUUAAAUGGAAAAAGAUAAAGCGGAGAAAGAAGCCAUGCUCGUUAGGAUGACGAACAUUGAGGCGAUGUUAACUUCGGUUCGAAAGUAACUAUAAACAUUUUUAGUUUGAAUGUUCGGGUUUAAAUGUUUUAAUUUGGGUUAUUGGAUAUUUUUCAUUUGGAUGUUUAUUAUGUGGAUCAUUGGAUGUUUGUUAUGAUUUUGAAAGGUUAUAAAUGGUUACAUUUUUUUA